GGGAGUGGUUGUGUCCCGGUGGAUGCUGCGGUCUUCAAAACCGUUGGCCGGUCGCGCUGAGCGAGCGGCGGUGGGUUCGACUCCCAUCCACUCCCGCCA
This 99-nucleotide transfer RNA is filed under the name Anaerolineae bacterium. RNAcentral describes it as "tRNA-Sec". It matches the Rfam family "Selenocysteine transfer RNA". RNAcentral also lists the same sequence under 1 other name. The record is from RNAcentral. Lineage: Bacteria; Bacillati; Chloroflexota; Anaerolineae.